AUUGAGGACAAGGCUCAGAGAGGGACUCAGCUGAAAGCUGUCAGCUGCUAACAGUCUCAGCAGCUGGGAGAAUGAAUGCCCCAGCCCUGAAAGGGGAAGGAAAAAGGUUAAUAAAACUACUCAGCUGCAAUCUCCUGCUAUCCUUCCGAAGAGGGCAGAAUGGCUAGGUGGAGCCAUGGGCUCAGAGUGUGGAACCUUGAGCUAUAGAGAGUGGAGACUCCAGUCACAGAGGAUUUUUCCCAGCCCUUGAAAAUUAAUGAAGUUUGCUUAGCUGGAUUUUGAAAUUGCUUGGGACAGGUUUGUGCUAAGAAAAUGCCUUCAACAAACAAAGUGGCUCCAGUGGGUUUCCAGUCCCUGGGGAGAGGGGAGAAAGAGAGAAAAGAAUCACUUUCUUAAGGGGAAAAGUACAGCAGCCAUGCCAUUCUGAGGAUUUACUACAGGAUUAAAUAAACUUCUCCACUUGAGGGGGACAUGUUUGUGCUGAAGGAAUAACAUAUUAUUACUUUUUUUGGAGAGCCAGCCUGUGAAGACAGGAAGACCAUGGGCAGGUUGGGGCUCGCUGCAACCGAUAGCACCCAAGCUGCCUUCUGCUCCGGGCUGGGCAGGGUUCAAGAUGAUGUUUGCUCUUGUGGAUAAUUUUCGUGGCCUCCUCUGCCUGCAGCUCCCUUUCCUAGAAGGAUACAGCUCUGUUCCGGUGGUCACCUGGAACCCUCCCUGAACCCCCUAAGCAAUCUCUUCCAGCCUCUUCCUGCUGGGGUCCCUGCGCUUCUCCCAGUGGCCUUUGUGGAGCAGGUCCGAGACAGUCCACUCCACCUGACUCCUGCGCGGCCUUCUCUGGACCCCAGGAAGCACCCUGCACCCCUCGCCCUAUCAAGUCUGAGUGCAGGCCCAUCUCAGCCCAUGGCACCCUCUCAGGUCCCUCAGUGUUCAUCAGCUACUCUCAUCCUCUAGUGUCCCAGACAGUGGUCAGGCCCUGGUCCACUCUGCCCCCCAGCGCUAGGGGUAAUGGUCUAGGGGUUUUUUGUCUUGUUCUCUGCUU
RNAcentral lists this long non-coding RNA (1039 nucleotides) under Equus asinus (donkey). RNAcentral describes it as "lncRNA (ENSEASG00005033137.1)". The record is from RNAcentral. Lineage: Eukaryota; Metazoa; Chordata; Mammalia; Perissodactyla; Equidae.